This 310-nucleotide unclassified non-coding RNA is filed under the name uncultured Gammaproteobacteria bacterium. RNAcentral's name for it is "contains 16S-23S intergenic spacer region". The record is from RNAcentral. Lineage: Bacteria; Pseudomonadati; Pseudomonadota; Gammaproteobacteria.
UCCGGUUUGGCACCGGCAGUCUUCCUAGAGUCCCCGCCAUUACGCGCUGGCAACUAAGAACAGGGGUUGCGCUCGUUGCGGGACUUAACCCAGCUCUCACCGGGCUUCCAGACAUGUCAAGGGUAGGUAAGGUUGUUCGCGUUGCAUCGAAUUAAUCCACAUCAUCCACCGCUUGUGCGGGUCCCCGUCAAUUCCUUUGAGUUUUAACCUUGCGGCCGUACUCCCCAGGCGGAUCACUUCACGCGUUAGCUACGGUACCAGGAGAUCGCUCCCCCAACACCUAGUGAUCAUCGUUUAGGGCGUGGACUAC